Rubritalea squalenifaciens DSM 18772 is the source of this 116-nucleotide ribosomal RNA. Lineage: Bacteria; Pseudomonadati; Verrucomicrobiota; Verrucomicrobiia; Verrucomicrobiales; Rubritaleaceae. The record is from Rfam.
UCUGGUGACCAUAGCAGAGUGGAACCACCCGGUCCCGUUCCGAACCCGGAAGUGAAACGCUUUAGCGCCGAUGGUAGUUGGACGAUAGGUCCUGUGAGAGUAGGUCGUCGCCAGGU